GCCUUCGUGGUGUAACGGUUAGCAUACUUGGCUUGUAUUCGAGAGGUCCAGGUCCAAGUCUUGGCGAGGACA
Molecule: transfer RNA, 72 nt
Filed under: Stegodyphus mimosarum
Lineage: Eukaryota; Metazoa; Arthropoda; Arachnida; Araneae; Eresidae
Rfam family: tRNA
About the family: Transfer RNA (tRNA) molecules are approximately 80 nucleotides in length.
Source: Rfam by way of RNAcentral